This 77-nucleotide transfer RNA is filed under the name Campylobacterales bacterium. Its description in RNAcentral is "tRNA-Arg". It matches the Rfam family "tRNA". From Rfam's summary of the family: Transfer RNA (tRNA) molecules are approximately 80 nucleotides in length. Their secondary structure includes four short double-helical elements and three loops (D, anti-codon, and T loops). Further hydrogen bonds mediate the characteristic L-shaped molecular structure. tRNAs have two regions of fundamental functional importance: the anti-codon, which is responsible for specific mRNA codon recognition, and the 3' end, to which the tRNAs corresponding amino acid is attached (by aminoacyl-tRNA synthetases). tRNAs cope with the degeneracy of the genetic code in two manners: having more than one tRNA (with a specific anti-codon) for a particular amino acid; and 'wobble' base-pairing, i.e. permitting non-standard base-pairing at the 3rd anti-codon position. Lineage: Bacteria; Pseudomonadati; Campylobacterota; Epsilonproteobacteria; Campylobacterales. The record is from RNAcentral.
GCGUUCGUAGCUCAGCUGGAUAGAGCACUGGUUUGCGGUACCAGCGGUCAGGGGUUCGAAUCCCUUCGGGCGCACCA